RNAcentral lists this long non-coding RNA (249 nucleotides) under Elaeis guineensis (African oil palm). RNAcentral's name for it is "long non-coding RNA (EGUI_LNC024546)". Lineage: Eukaryota; Viridiplantae; Streptophyta; Magnoliopsida; Arecales; Arecaceae. The record is from RNAcentral.
AGGCAUAUGGAUGUUUGAAGGCUAAUAACACCUCAGUCCAGAGAUGGACACUCUAUAUGAAAUAUGGUAUGGUCCAUAUUAUGCUGCAUGGGCCUUCCAAUCUAAUUCUAGAAAUAUUUUCUAAAAAUUACUACAUAUUAUGAAUGAUGUACCAUCUAUAUCUGCUACUAGUACCCCAUAUGAGAUAUGAAAAAUAAAGAGGCAUGUUAUCCAGCUUAUGUGAAAAGAGUUGAUGUAUAUAAGCUUUCA